This 427-nucleotide ribosomal RNA is filed under the name uncultured Aquicella sp. RNAcentral describes it as "bacterial SSU rRNA". It matches the Rfam family "Bacterial small subunit ribosomal RNA", at positions 355 to 774 of the family's 1533-position model. Lineage: Bacteria; Pseudomonadati; Pseudomonadota; Gammaproteobacteria; Legionellales; Coxiellaceae. The record is from RNAcentral.
UGGGGAAUAUUGGACAAUGGGGGCAACCCUGAUCCAGCGAUGCCGCGUGAGUGAAGAAGGCCUUCGGGUCGUAAAGCUCUUUAGGUUGGGAAGAAGUUUAUUAGCUGAAUAAGCUAGUAGAUUGACGGUACCGACAGAAUAAGCACCGGCAAACUCUGUGCCAGCAGCCGCGGUAAUACAGAGGGUGCGAGCGUUAAUCGGAAUUACUGGGUGUAAAGGGCGCGUAGGCGGUGAGAUAUGUGUGUUGUGAAAGCCCCGGGCUUAACCUGGGAAGUGCAAUGCAAACGGUCUGACUAGAGUAUAUGAGAGGGUGGCGGAAUUUCCGGUGUAGCGGUGAAAUGCGUAGAGAUCGGAAGGAACGUCGAUGGCGAAGGCAGCCACCUGGCAUAAUACUGACGCUGAGGCGCGAAAGCGUGGGGAGCGAACA